GUUUCAGGGCGGGGUGCAAUUCCCCACCGGCGGUACAGCCCGCGACCGCAUACCUUGGUAUGCGCUGAUUUGGUGAGAUUCCAAAGCCGACGGUAUAGUCCGGAUGAAAGAAA
Molecule: non-coding RNA, 113 nt
Filed under: uncultured Anaerofilum sp.
Lineage: Bacteria; Bacillati; Bacillota; Clostridia; Eubacteriales; Oscillospiraceae
Description: FMN riboswitch (RFN element)
Rfam family: FMN riboswitch aptamer (RFN element)
About the family: The RFN element is a highly conserved domain that is found frequently in the 5'-untranslated regions of prokaryotic mRNAs that encode for flavin mononucleotide (FMN) biosynthesis and transport proteins.
Source: RNAcentral